UUUUCUCCUCAUCCUUAUGACUCUCCGUGUGUGCCUCCAAGUUCUUCAAGUUCAUUCCAAAGUCUCUUCAUGUUCAAUUCCAUACCAAGCCUCCAUCAUGCUGAAAUACAAUGCCAAACCUUAUUAGGCCAUGCCAAGCCUCAAACUAAGCUUGCAACAGCCCUUAUAAAACCUAAAUCAAACCAGCAUCAUUAAACCAACCAUACAUCAUAACUAUCAAGAAUAUACCAACACUAGAAAUGUAUAUUCAUUCAAAUAC
This 259-nucleotide long non-coding RNA is filed under the name Lathyrus oleraceus (garden pea). Its description in RNAcentral is "Pisum sativum (pea) long non-coding RNA (PSAT_LNC000835)". The record is from RNAcentral. Lineage: Eukaryota; Viridiplantae; Streptophyta; Magnoliopsida; Fabales; Fabaceae.